RNAcentral lists this ribosomal RNA (461 nucleotides) under uncultured bacterium. Its description in RNAcentral is "partial 16S ribosomal RNA". It matches the Rfam family "Bacterial small subunit ribosomal RNA", at positions 338 to 795 of the family's 1533-position model. The record is from RNAcentral.
CCUACGGGAGGCAGCAGUGAGGAAUAUUGGUCAAUGGGCGCGAGCCUGAACCCGCCAAGUAGCGUGAAGGAUGACUGCCCUACGGGUUGUAAACUUCUUUUAUAAAGGAAUAAAGUGAGGCACGUGUGCCUUUUUGUAUGUACUUUCUGAAUAAGGCUCGGCUAACUCCGUGACAGCAGCCGCGGUAAUACUGAGGGUCCGAGCGUUAUCCGGGUUUGUUGGGUUUAAAGGGUGCGUAUGCUGUGAGGUAAGUCAGCGGUGAAAUGCCCCCGCUCAACGGGGUGAAGUGCCAUUGAUACUGCCUUGCUGGAAUGCGGAUGCCGUGGGAGGAAUGUGUGGUGGAGCGGUGAAAUGCAUAGAUAUCACACAGAACACCGAUUGCGAAGGCAUCUCACGAAUCCGCGAUUGACGCUGAUGCACGAAAGCGUGGGUAUCAAACAGGAUUAGAUACCCGAGUAGUC